Molecule: ribosomal RNA, 380 nt
Filed under: uncultured bacterium
Lineage: Bacteria
Description: bacterial SSU rRNA
Rfam family: Bacterial small subunit ribosomal RNA
Source: RNAcentral
GACGAACGCUGGCGGCGUGCUUAACACAUGCAAGUCGAGCGAGGCCCCUCCUUCGGGAGGGUGUCCUAGCGGCGAACGGGUGAGUAACACGUGGGCAAUCUGCCCCUAGCACUGGAAUAACCCCGGGAAACCGGGGCUAAUACCGGGUACGACCUAGCAGGGCAUCCUGCAUGGUGGAAAGAUUUAUCGGCUAGGGGAUGAGCCCGCGGCCUAUCAGCUAGUUGGUGGGGUAACGGCCUACCAAGGCGACGACGGGUAGCCGGCCUGAGAGGGCGACCGGCCACACUGGGACUGAGACACGGUCCAGACUCCUACGGGAGGCAGCAGUGGGGAAUAUUGCGCAAUGGGCGAAAGCCUGACGCAGCGACGCCGCGUGAGGG